RNAcentral lists this transfer RNA (72 nucleotides) under Camelus bactrianus (Bactrian camel). It matches the Rfam family "tRNA". From Rfam's summary of the family: Transfer RNA (tRNA) molecules are approximately 80 nucleotides in length. The record is from Rfam by way of RNAcentral. Lineage: Eukaryota; Metazoa; Chordata; Mammalia; Artiodactyla; Camelidae. RNAcentral also lists the same sequence under 3 other names.
GAGGGUAGAGCUCACUGGUGGAGUGCACGCUUUGCAAGCACGAGGUCCUGGGUUCAAUCCCCAGUAUCUCUC